AUGAUAUCGGAUUACAUGAUGUUCCUCGACAUCGGAAAACAUGACAUGCUACCAGGCCGUAAGUUCCACAGCGUGAUCAAAACAGCCUGCCGUAUUAUUGGGAUGGCGGUCAAGCCGCAAUAUAGGGCCAGCAGUUCUAAAACAAAAGGGGAUGAGCUUGCCAAGUGGAUGCUGACGAACAAGGAUAAUCUCAAGACGCUAGGUGCUACUGGUGAAGGAACUGGAGGAAUAAAUAAGGGUCAUCUCGAGGACAGAGCUCGUAUUUGUCUCUCAGAAGGAACUCAAAUUGCCCAUGAGCUGCAUCAUCGGAGGACAGCUACCGAAGAAGGUGGACUUGUUGCCAUUAGAAGACACGCACACUGGAUUCCAAAUAUGCUGCAUCCUCCUGGUCCUGGCUCUGGGCAUAUUGAAAGAACGUUGGAGUUCAUCUUGGAUGUGUGGGUGAACAUGCUCGUCGAUGCGUCCCUCCGGUGCAGCAGGGAGUCCCAUGCCAAACAACUAAGCCGUGGUGGUGAGCUAAUAACAAUCAUAUGGGUCGCUACACAACACGCAGAUGCUGAUUGUAUCAAAUCGAGGUUCUGUGCGUCUUUCUUUUGA
This 597-nucleotide ribosomal RNA is filed under the name Triticum aestivum (bread wheat). RNAcentral's name for it is "partial small subunit ribosomal RNA". Lineage: Eukaryota; Viridiplantae; Streptophyta; Magnoliopsida; Poales; Poaceae. The record is from RNAcentral.